AUGGCAACAUGUGGAGCUGACUGUUACUAAUAGGUCGAGGGCUUAAUCUG
RNAcentral lists this ribosomal RNA (50 nucleotides) under Agathobacter rectalis. RNAcentral's name for it is "[Eubacterium] rectale partial 23S ribosomal RNA". The record is from RNAcentral. Lineage: Bacteria; Bacillati; Bacillota; Clostridia; Lachnospirales; Lachnospiraceae.